This 469-nucleotide ribosomal RNA is filed under the name uncultured bacterium. RNAcentral's name for it is "bacterial SSU rRNA". It matches the Rfam family "Bacterial small subunit ribosomal RNA", at positions 29 to 524 of the family's 1533-position model. The record is from RNAcentral.
AACGAACGCUGGCGGCAUGCCUAACACAUGCAAGUCGAACGAGACCUUCGGGUCUAGUGGCGCACGGGUGCGUAACGCGUGGGAAUCUGCCCCUUGGUUCGGAAUAACAGUUAGAAAUGACUGCUAAUACCGGAUGAUGACGAAAGUCCAAAGAUUUAUCGCCGAGGGAUGAGCCCGCGUAGGAUUAGCUAGUUGGUGAGGUAAAGGCUCACCAAGGCGACGAUCCUUAGCUGGUCUGAGAGGAUGAUCAGCCACACUGGGACUGAGACACGGCCCAGACUCCUACGGGAGGCAGCAGUGGGGAAUAUUGGACAAUGGGCGAAAGCCUGAUCCAGCAAUGCCGCGUGAGUGAUGAAGGCCCUAGGGUUGUAAAGCACUGUGGGAGGGGAAGAAAAACCGGAGUGUAUCCGGUCUUGACGGUACCCUGUUAGAAAGCACCGGCUAACUCCGUGCCAGCAGCCGCGGUAAU